RNAcentral lists this ribosomal RNA (490 nucleotides) under uncultured bacterium. RNAcentral describes it as "bacterial SSU rRNA". It matches the Rfam family "Bacterial small subunit ribosomal RNA", at positions 903 to 1397 of the family's 1533-position model. The record is from RNAcentral.
AAAGGAAUAGACGGGGGCCCGCACAAGCAGUGGAUUAUGUGGUUUAAUUCGAUGCUACGCGAAAAACCUUACCAGGGCUUGACAUGGAGAUGACCGCCGUAGAGAUACGGUUUCCCUUUCGGGGGCAUCUCACACAGGUGGUGCAUGGUUGUCGUCAGCUCGUGUCGUGAGAUGUUGGGUUAAGUCCCGCAACGAGCGCAACCCUUGUUGUUAGUUGCUACGCGAGAGCACUCUAGCGAGACUGCCGUUGACAAAACGGAGGAAGGCGGGGACGACGUCAAAUCAUCAUGCCCCUUAUGUCCUGGGCUACACACGUAAUACAAUGGCGUUUAACAAUGGGAAGCGAAGCCGCGAGGCGGAGCAAAUCCCCAAAAGGCGUCUCAGUUCGGAUCGCAGGCUGCAACCCGCCUGCGUGAAGUCGGAAUUGCUAGUAAUCGCGGAUCAGCAUGCCGCGGUGAAUACGUUCCCGGGCCUUGUACACACCGCCCGU